Molecule: ribosomal RNA, 253 nt
Filed under: uncultured bacterium
Lineage: Bacteria
Description: partial 16S ribosomal RNA
Rfam family: Bacterial small subunit ribosomal RNA
Source: RNAcentral
UACGUAGGGGGCAAGCGUUGUCCGGAAUUAUUGGGCGGAAAGAGCUCGUAGGCGGUCUGUCGCGUCGGCUGUGAAAACCCGGAGCUCAACUCCGGGCCUGCAGUCGAUACGGGCAAACUGGAGUGUUGCAGGGGAGACUGGAAUUCCUGGUGUAGCGGUGAAAUGCGCAGAUAUCAGGAGGAACACCGGUGGCGAAGGCGGGUCACUGGUCCGGUACUGACGCUGAGGUGCGAAAGCGUGGGUAGCAAACGGG